RNAcentral lists this unclassified non-coding RNA (294 nucleotides) under Lichenoconium sp. Its description in RNAcentral is "partial contains 5.8S ribosomal RNA, internal transcribed spacer 2, and large subunit ribosomal RNA". The stretch from base 1 to 71 matches the Rfam family "5.8S ribosomal RNA", at positions 84 to 154 of the family's 154-position model. Lineage: Eukaryota; Fungi; Ascomycota; Dothideomycetes; Abrothallales; Lichenoconiaceae. The record is from RNAcentral.
GUGAGUCAUCGAAUCUUUGAACGCACAUUGCGCCCCUUGGUAUUCCGAGGGGCAUGCCUGUUCGAGCGUCAUUUCACCAAUCGAGCCCCGCUCGGUAUUGGGCCUCGUCCUUCACCGGACGGGCCUCGAAGCCCCCGGCCGUUGGGUCCCGCUUCAGGCGUAGCAGAGCUUUUGCAGCCUCGCCUUGGAAGCCGGUGGCCGCGACGCGCCGCGCAAACGAAACUUUGACAUCAAGGUUGACCUCGGAUCAGGUAGGGAUACCCGCUGAACUUAAGCAUAUCAAUAAGCGGAGGA